Molecule: transfer RNA, 72 nt
Filed under: Bacilli bacterium
Lineage: Bacteria; Bacillati; Bacillota; Bacilli
Also listed under: 1 other name
Description: tRNA-Ile
Rfam family: tRNA
About the family: Transfer RNA (tRNA) molecules are approximately 80 nucleotides in length. Their secondary structure includes four short double-helical elements and three loops (D, anti-codon, and T loops).
Source: RNAcentral
GGUGACGUAGCUCAAUGGUAGAGUUCUCGGCUUAUAUCCAAGCGGUUGAAGGUUCGAGUCCUUCCGUCACUA